Molecule: long non-coding RNA, 1570 nt
Organism: Eptesicus fuscus (big brown bat)
Lineage: Eukaryota; Metazoa; Chordata; Mammalia; Chiroptera; Vespertilionidae
Exons: 4
Source: RefSeq, a predicted model, not a curated record
GGUAGGCGUCCCUGAGUGUCCAUGGUAACCAGUGGAGCCGACUCUGGUCCAGCGCAAUCCCCGGGCGUCAGAAAAGCGAUGGCAGCCCGAGUGCCCAGAGCGACGUGGGAGGAGCGCCGUACGCAGUCUCCUCCAAUCCCAGCGGUCGUCCGGCAACCUUGUACCUCCAACGACAAGAUGGAGUCUAGGCUCAGUCGCCUCCGGGGAACCGUGCUGUGAGGCAGGGCAUGGGGAAGGGCCGCAGCCCCACCGGCCCAGCUGAAGCAGCCGGCCCGCGUCGCUGCCGGGAGGGCUGGCCUGGGCCCCUCCCAAGGACCAGCAGACUGGACACGUGGCAGAGCCGACCACGCCUGUCACGGAUGGAGCUCAGACCCUGAAAAUGGAUACAACAGCUAACACUGAGUCAAGCUCUGGAAGCUCAUUGCCGACACGUGUGCUGAGGAAUGCAAGACACAUCGUUGGAGAUUGAGGGACCCAGGCGUAAUAAUCCACCGACAUAUGGUCGAACCAGCUACGAUGAAAAAAAAGGUUUUAAUAAAAUUGUAUGAAAAUGGUAGAACAGUAGGUGAAGCAGCUGCCAUCGCUGGUAUUAACAAUACGGCAAAGUCAGUUAUUGACCACUAUAAGAAAAAUGGCUGUGUUGAUAGAAAAAAACGUGGAGGUAAGAGAAAUAGCAAGUUGAACGCCUCGAUAUUAAACAAAAUUGAGCAAAUAAUUGAAGAAAAUCCGUGUGUAACUUGAAAAGGAAUUCGUGACAAGAUUCUCGAAUCUGAACAUGUAGAACUAAGCACAAGUUCUAUAGAGAAUGGGCUGAAACGGUUAAGGAUCACAUUCAAGUGUGCAUCUGUACAAGCUCAUACUCGAAACUCAGAAUUACUGAGAUAAUGCAGAAUGUGUUAAAUUUUUCUCAAAAUAUCCCUGAAGCAAGACAAAAACAAUAUUCACUGACAAGUUAUGUUUAUUACUAUAUACAUGCAAUAAAAUGAUUUUAAUUGCCAUUUUUGGCGAACAAGGGCCCAAUGGGAAGUUACGCACUAGCCCGUGCGGCCGUGCGCACGAUCAGAGGGCGAACUGGUGCCCUCGUUGUAGCCAUAAGCACGCGGGAUGGUGUCGCAUGAAGCGCGUGCACAUUCCUCAAUCACUUCAAAUAGUUUCUGCGCCUUCCUCCGCAGGCGCCUGGGGGACGGAUGAGUAUAAUUUGGAGGACGUGUGGUUGGUUUUGGACAAUGUCAGUACGUGAUCUUGUUGGUCAGACGAGGCAUGCCUUAUUAUUUCUGCCACCGUGUUCUCCAUUGAUGAAUCCCAUGGAAGAAGUUUUUUCACCGGUUAAGUUCUGUGCGAGUGAUAUUUUGGCAGAUGCUUCAAACCAUGAACGUUGAACUGAUGUUAUUAGUCAUUCUGUAGCGACUGUUACACCUGCAGACUGUCACAAGUACUUUAUGAAUAUGUAUAUGAAACUGCCACGCAGCAGCGGGAGAACCACUGUAAGGGAGAUUGUAAGUAAAUUAGUAUUUCUGAUGUAAAAAAGUAUAUUAUGUUUAUUACUAUAUACAUGCAAUAAAAUAAUUUU